This 320-nucleotide ribosomal RNA is filed under the name uncultured eukaryote. RNAcentral's name for it is "partial 18S ribosomal RNA". It matches the Rfam family "Eukaryotic small subunit ribosomal RNA", at positions 1470 to 1796 of the family's 1831-position model. The record is from RNAcentral.
CCCCUAGAUGUUCUGGGCCGCACGCGCGCUACACUGAACAGUUCAACAAGUCUUAACCUUGGCCGAUAGGUCUGGGUAAUCUUUGAACGCUGUUCGUGAUUGGGAUAGACCUUUGCAAUUAUGGGUCUUCAACGAGGAAUUCCUAGUAAACGCAAGUCAUCAGCUUGCAUUGAUUACGUCCCUGCCCUUUGUACACACCACCCGUCGCACCUACCGAUUGAAUGGUCCGGUGAAAUCUCGGGACGGCGGCUUGGUCGCUUGCGUCCGACUGCUGAAACUUGAUUAAACCAUAUCAUUUAGAGGAAGGUGAANUCGUANCA